AGAGUUUGAUCAUGGCUCAGAUUGAACGCUGGCGGCAGGCCUAACACAUGCAAGUCGAACGGUAACAGGAAGAAGCUUGCUUCUUUGCUGACGAGUGGCGGACGGGUGAGUAAUGUCUGGGAAACUGCCUGAUGGAGGGGGAUAACUACUGGAAACGGUAGCUAAUACCGCAUAACGUCGCAAGACCAAAGAGGGGGGCCUUCGGGCCUCUUGCCAUCGGAUGUGCCCAGAUGGGAUUAGCUAGUAGGUGGGGUAACGGCUCACCUAGGCGACGAUCCCUAGCUGGUCUGAGAGGAUGACCAGCCACACUGGAACUGAGACACGGUCCAGACUCCUACGGGAGGCAGCAGUGGGGAAUAUUGCACAUGGGCGCAAGCCUGAUGCAGCCAUGCCGCGUGUAUGAAGAAGGCCUUCGGGUUGUAAAGUACUUUCAGCGGGGAGGAAGGGAGUAAAGUUAAUACCUUUGCUCAUUGACGUUACCCGCAGAAGAAGCACCGGCUAACUCCGUGCCAGCAGCCGCGGUAAUACGGAGGGUGCAAGCGUUAAUCGGAAUUACUGGGCGUAAAGCGCACGCAGGCGGUUUGUUAAGUCAGAUGUGAAAUCCCCGGGCUCAACCUGGGAACUGCAUCUGAUACUGGCAAGCUUGAGUCUCGUAGAGGGGGGUAGAAUUCCAGGUGUAGCGGUGAAAUGCGUAGAGAUCUGGAGGAAUACCGGUGGCGAAGGCGGCCCCCUGGACGAAGACUGACGCUCAGGUGCGAAAGCGUGGGGAGCAAACAGGAUUAGAUACCCUGGUAGUCCACGCCGUAAACGAUGUCGACUUGGAGGUUGUGCCCUUGAGGCGUGGCUUCCGGAGCUAACGCGUUAAGUCGACCGCCUGGGGAGUACGGCCGCAAGGUUAAAACUCAAAUGAAUUGACGGGGGCCCGCACAAGCGGUGGAGCAUGUGGUUUAAUUCGAUGCAACGCGAAGAACCUUACCUGGUCUUGACAUCCACGGAAGUUUUCAGAGAUGAGAAUGUGCCUUCGGGAACCGUGAGACAGGUGCUGCAUGGCUGUCGUCAGCUCGUGUUGUGAAGUGUUGGGUUAAGUCCCGCAACGAGCGCAACCCUUAUCCUUUGUUGCCAGCGGUCCGGCCGGGAACUCAAAGGAGACUGCCAGUGAUAAACUGGAGGAAGGUGGGGAUGACGUCAAGUCAUCAUGCCCCUUACGACCAGGGCUACACACGUGCUACAAUGGCGCAUACAAAGAGAAGCGACCUCGCGAGAGCAAGCGGACCUCAUAAAGUGCGUCGUAGUCCGGAUUGGAGUCUGCAACUCGACUCCAUGAAGUCGGAAUCGCUAGUAAUCGUGGAUCAGAAUGCCACGGUGAAUACGUUCCCGGGCCUUGUACACU
This 1390-nucleotide ribosomal RNA is filed under the name metagenome. Its description in RNAcentral is "bacterial SSU rRNA". It matches the Rfam family "Bacterial small subunit ribosomal RNA". The record is from RNAcentral.